Molecule: long non-coding RNA, 439 nt
Organism: Bubalus bubalis (water buffalo)
Lineage: Eukaryota; Metazoa; Chordata; Mammalia; Artiodactyla; Bovidae
Exons: 2
Source: RefSeq, a predicted model, not a curated record
UUUGUUUAACAAGAGCCUCAGGUGAUUAUUAUCUUUGAGAAAAUUUGGGGAAAGAGUUAAUGUGAAAAUGCCUUACAAUACAUGAGGACAUAAGGACAUAAUUGGGGAAAAAAAAACAAAGCUGAAUAAAUGAACUAAGGACCAGGCAAUAUUCAGCAAAUCACAAGUUACUUGGCUCAAUCUUUCUCUUAGGUAUUCAGGAGAAUAGUAUUAAUACCUAUUACCACCCAGACCUUGGGGGAGGAUUAGAGUCCAUUACUGGAAAUUGCUCUGAGCUCCCUGGGAAGGUGAAAUAAUCUAGUCCCCAGGAAGAGGAUCAUUUUUUAUGGCCCGGAACGCCCCACUGACAGUUCUCCCUGAGGAGUCAUGAAGAGGGAUAAGGCUCAAAGAUAGGCAUUCCAGGGCCUUUGCCCUUCGUCAUCAGCAGCAUGUGAUGGAG